Podarcis lilfordi (Lilford's wall lizard) is the source of this 78-nucleotide non-coding RNA. The record is from the annotation of a GenBank genome assembly. NCBI's taxonomy places the organism in Eukaryota, Metazoa, Chordata, Lepidosauria, Squamata, Lacertidae.
GCUUGGAUUGCUUAGUUGGGAGAGCAUGAGACUCUUAAUUUCAGGCUUGUGGGUUCGAGCACUACAGGGGAUUGGACU